CAGCGGAGGGAUCAUUACAGGACUCGCAAGACUCCCGUAAACCACUGUGAACUUACCUACAACCCGUUGCCUCGGCGGGUGCUCCGGGCGCGUCUUCGGGCGCUCCGGGGCGCUCCAGCCCGCCGGCGGCCCCUAAACUCUGUCUCUGUAACGUUGGCAUCUCCGAGCAGACUAUAAACGAGUCAAAACUUUCAACAACGGAUCUCUUGGUUCUGGCAUCGAUGAAGAACGCAGCGAAAUGCGAUAAGUAAUGUGAAUUGCAGAAUUCAGUGAAUCAUCGAAUCUUUGAACGCACAUUGCGCCCGCCAGCACUCUGGCGGGCAUGCCUGUCCGAGCGUCAUUUCAACCCUCAGGCCCCGCCUGGCGUUGGAGCCCUGCGCAGCGCAGGCUCCCAAAGACAGCGGCGGGCGCGCCCCGGAACCGAGCGCAGUAAUGCUUUCUCGUUCUGGUCCGGCGCGCGCUCCGGCCGUAAAACCCCCAACUUUCUAAGUGGUUGACCUCGGAUCAGGUAGGAAUACCCGCUGAACUUAAGCAUAUCAAUAAGCGGAGGAA
Molecule: ribosomal RNA, 552 nt
Filed under: uncultured Ascomycota
Lineage: Eukaryota; Fungi; Ascomycota
Description: eukaryotic LSU rRNA
Rfam family: 5.8S ribosomal RNA (bases 187-340)
Source: RNAcentral